CCUCUGGUAUUGAUUGGUGCUUGCAUCAUGAUUUACAUUUGAGUGAGUGGCGAACUGGUGAGUAACACGUGGGAAACCUGCCCAGAAGCGGGGGAUAACACCUGGAAACAGAUGCUAAUACCGCAUAACAACUUGGACCGCAUGGUCCGAGUUUGAAAGAUGGCUUCGGCUAUCACUUUUGGAUGGUCCCGCGGCGUAUUAGCUAGAUGGUGGGGUAACGGCUCACCAUGGCAAUGAUACGUAGCCGACCUGAGAGGGUAAUCGGCCACAUUGGGACUGAGACACGGCCCAAACUCCUACGGGAGGCAGCAGUAGGGAAUCUUCCACAAUGGACGAAAGUCUGAUGGAGCAACGCCGCGUGAGUGAAGAAGGGUUUCGGCUCGUAAAACUCUGUUGUUAAAGAAGAACAUAUCUGAGAGUAACUGUUCAGGUAUUGACGGUAUUUAACCAGAAAGCCACGGCUAACUACGUGCCAGCAGCCGCGGUAAUACGUAGGUGGCAAGCGUUGUCCGGAUUUAUUGGGCGUAAAGCGAGCGCAGGCGGUUUUUUAAGUCUGAUGUGAAAGCCUUCGGCUCAACCGAAGAAGUGCAUCGGAAACUGGGAAACUUGAGUGCAGAAGAGGACAGUGGAACUCCAUGUGUAGCGUGA
RNAcentral lists this ribosomal RNA (648 nucleotides) under Lactiplantibacillus pentosus. RNAcentral's name for it is "bacterial SSU rRNA". It matches the Rfam family "Bacterial small subunit ribosomal RNA", at positions 70 to 684 of the family's 1533-position model. The record is from RNAcentral. Lineage: Bacteria; Bacillati; Bacillota; Bacilli; Lactobacillales; Lactobacillaceae.